CGCAAGACUAAAUGGAGGAUUCGGAACUAUGAACUUUAAAGGGCAUUUUAGGGAAUUUGGAAUUUUGAAUUUUGCAAGACAUUUUGGGAGACUUGAAAGUUUGAAGCAUGCAGGUUUCAGGGGGAUUUGGAACUUUAAACUUUGCAUGUUGUUUUGGGGAUUUUAAACUUUGAAAUCUGCAUGGCGUUUUGGGGGAUAUAGGACUUUGAAUUCAGCAAGGUGUUUUGGGUAAUUUGGAACUUUGAAACUUGCAAGGCAUUUGGGGGAUUUGGAAAUUUGAACUCUGCAGAGUGAUUUAGGAAAUUUGAAACAUUAAAGUCUGUAGGUAUUAUCAGGGGAUAAAGAACUUUGACAUCUAUAAGGUUUUUUGAUGAAUUCAGAAGUGAAUUUGGUGGCCUACUAAUUCAUGCCAUAAAGUUGUCACAAUACAGACGAAUAUUAUCUAUAUCAAGUCAAGUGUUUGUGAUAAACUGUAGCAAUAUAGGACUCAUUUCGAUGUUAAAAGCCUUAAAAAAGUUGUCCAUUAGUGAACUUUUGUUUUCAUUUAGGCCAUUUUAUAUGUUUUUUGCUAAUGAAUACUUCAUUAUGCAAAAGUUUGGCAUUUAAUAUGAAGUGUAUUUCAAUAUGGAGACCGAAGGUUCUAGGUUAGCCUCAGAUAUUUUAUCUUUCACUUCAUAAAUAAAUCAUAUAACGUGUAAAUAUUAAUGUAAUCAUCUUGACUUGAUUAUUGUUGUAAAUUUUGCAGUUUAUUCUGCUGGUCAAGGGUAUUAUGAUAUACAAUGCAAGUGAGAAGCUUUUGAAUGCAAAGAGAGAGGAUUGUUGGUCUUGCAAUUGUGUCAAUGAGGUUAUAUUUCUCAUGAAUUUUAGUAUCAUAAUACCCUUGACUAAAAGAGCAAACUGCAAAAUUUACAGCAACAAUCAAAGUCAAGAGUAUUACAUUAAUAUUUAGAGGCUAUAUGAUUUAUUUAUCAAGUGAAAGAUAAAGUAUCAGAAACUAACAUAGAACCUUACGUCUCCAUAUUGAUUUAUACUUCAUAUUUAAUCUCAUAGUUUUGCAUAAUUAAGUGUUUAUUAGCAAAAAAAUAUAAAGUCACCUAAAUGAAAACAAAAGUUCACUAAUGGACAAAAUUUUCUUUAAGUCAUCUAAAAUGGAAACCGGUCUGAUGUUGCUACACUUUAUCAUAAACAUUUGACUCGAGAUAGAUAAUAUUCAUCUUUAUUAUGACAAAUUUAUGGCAUGAAUGAGUAGACACCAAAUUCAGUUCCAAAUUCCUGAAUCGAUUGCCAAAAGAGAGUAUAAGUUUAAGAGCAUUUUUGACAUGUGUACCCUUUAUUAUAAUCAUGGAGUUUAAUAAAAGAACAUAUACUACCAACAUUUCUAUAGCUUCCUUUUUAACUUGUGUAGUUGUUGAUGUUUGUAUGGCUUUUUGAGGAGUUUGGAUCUUUGGAAUCUGCGAAUCUAAAUGGAGGAUUCGGGACUUUGAAAUUUGUAAGUCGUUAUAGGAAAUUUGGAAUUUUGAAUUUAACAAGACAUUUUGGGGAACUUUGAAGUUUGAAGCAUGCAGAUUUUCAGAGAGAUUUGAAACUUUAAACUUUGCAUGGUAUUUUGGGGAAUUUGAACUUUGAAAUCUGCAUGAUGUUUUAGCGGAUAUGAGACUUUGAAUUCUGCAAGGUGUUUUGGGUAAUUUGGAACUUUGAAACUUGAAUUGCUUUUCGGGGGAUUUGAAAAUUUGAACUUUGAAGAGUGUUUUAAGAAAUUUGAAACAUCAAAGUCUGUAGGUAUUAUUAGGAGAUAAAGAACUUUGAAAUGUAUAAGGUUUUUUGAGAAAUUCGAAACCGAAUUUGGUGGCCGACUCAUUCAUGCCAUAAAGUUGUAUAAGAAAUUUGAAACAUCAAAUUCUGUAGGUAUUAUUAGGAGAUAAAGAACUUUGAAAUGUAUAAGGUUUUUUGAGAAAUUCGAAACCGAAUUUGGUGGCCGACUCAUUCAUGCCAUAAAGUUGUUAUAAUAAAGACGAAUAUUAUCUAUCUCAAAUCAAGUGUUUAUGAUAAAGUAUAGCAAUAUAAGACUCGUUUCAAUGAUAAAAGUCUUAAAGAAAGUUUUGUCCAUUAGUGAACUUUUGUUGUCAUUUAGGCCGCUUUAUAUGUUUUUUUUUU
This 2154-nucleotide long non-coding RNA is filed under the name Lactuca sativa (garden lettuce). Its description in RNAcentral is "long non-coding RNA (LSAT_LNC006328)". The record is from RNAcentral. Lineage: Eukaryota; Viridiplantae; Streptophyta; Magnoliopsida; Asterales; Asteraceae.